GCGCACGGGUGAGUAACGCGUAUGUAACCUACCUUGUACAGGGGGAUAGCCCGGAGAAAUUCGGAUUAAUACCCCAUAAUGAUAUUAGAAGGCAUCUUUUGAUAUUUAAAGUUUCGACGGUACAGGAUGGGCAUGCGUGACAUUAGCUAGUUGGUAGGGUAACGGCCUACCAAGGCUGCGAUGUCUAGGGGUCCUGAGAGGGUGAUCCCCCACACUGGUACUGAGACACGGACCAGACUCCUACGGGAGGCAGCAGUGAGGAAUAUUGGUCAAUGGGCGCAAGCCUGAACCAGCCAUCCCGCGUGCAGGAAGAAGGCGCUAUGCGUCGUAAACUGCUUUUCCAGGGGAAGAAAACCUGAUACGAGUAUCGGCUUGCCGGUACCCUGGGAAUAAGCAUCGGCUAACUCCGUGCCAGCAGCCGCGGUAAUACGGAGGAUGCAAGCGUUAUCCGGAUUUAUUGGGUUUAAAGGGUGCGUAGGCGGAUUAAUAAGUCAGUGGUGAAAACCUGCAGCUUAACUGUAGAACUGCCAUUGAUACUGUUAGUCUUGAGUACGGUCAAGGUAGGCGGAAUGUGUAAUGUAGCGGUGAAAUGCUUAGAUAUUACACAGAACACCAAUUGCGAAGGCAGCUUACUGGGCCACAACUGACGCUGAGGCACGAAAGCGUGGGGAGCGAACAGGAUUAGAUACCCUGGUAGUCCACGCCGUAAACGAUGAUCACUCGCUGUUGGCGAUACACAGUCAGCGGCUAAGCAAAAGCAUUAAGUGAUCCACCUGGGGAGUACGGCCGCAAGGCUGAAACUCAAAGGAAUUGA
Molecule: ribosomal RNA, 814 nt
Filed under: uncultured microorganism
Description: bacterial SSU rRNA
Rfam family: Bacterial small subunit ribosomal RNA
Source: RNAcentral